This 497-nucleotide ribosomal RNA is filed under the name uncultured bacterium. RNAcentral's name for it is "partial 16S ribosomal RNA". It matches the Rfam family "Bacterial small subunit ribosomal RNA", at positions 28 to 507 of the family's 1533-position model. The record is from RNAcentral.
GAUGAACGCUGGCGGCGUGCCUAAUACAUGCAAGUCGAGCGAACAGAUAAGGAGCUUGCUCCUUUGACGUUAGCGGCGGACGGGUGAGUAACACGUGGGUAACCUACCUAUAAGACUGGGAUAACUUCGGGAAACCGGAGCUAAUACCGGAUAAUAUUUUGAACCGCAUGGUUCGAUAGUGAAAGAUGGUUUUGCUAUCACUUAUAGAUGGACCCGCGCCGCAUUAGCUAGUUGGUAAGGUAACGGCUUACCAAGGCGACGAUACGUAGCCGACCUGAGAGGGUGAUCGGCCACACUGGAACUGAGACACGGUCCAGACUCCUACGGGAGGCAGCAGUAGGGAAUCUUCCGCAAUGGGCGAAAGCCUGACGGAGCAACGCCGCGUGAGUGAUGAAGGUCUUCGGAUCGUAAAACUCUGUUAUUAGGGAAGAACAUACGUGUAAGUAACUGUGCACGUCUUGACGGUACCUAAUCAGAAAGCCACGGCUAACUACGUG